AAGAGAAUCACAGAGCUGUCUUUUCCGCUCCGUGAGUCUCCUGGACUGUCUGGUUAUCAAAGACAAGAUCUGUGGGGGCGGGGACGGCUCGAUCCGAUACUCAGGGUUGAUAUCGGUCAAGAAUCCCAAGACCGAACAUCGAAAAAAGGAACUUCAGCUCCUUUGAUCCGAUACCUAAUGCUCAUUGCUGAAACGAUCGUCUCAGCAAUGACAGCACACAGUACACUGAAUUGAUAUCAGUAUUGGCAUGAAUGAAUGUAUCGAGACAUCCCUACUUACAAACUUGUUGUCAUGAACAGUUUAGAUUAAAAAGCAUCUUCAGAGGACGUUUCACUCUUCUAGUUUGACAGCGUUUUCAAAGUGUGUGGAACCAAGGACUGCAUUAUAUUGAUGUGUAGCUCCAGUCGUCGUCUAACGGUUGGUUUUGUGACGCUUCAGAUUAAUGAUCAGACAAGCAUGGACGUCACUUUCUGCUCCCAAACAUUUGACGUUAGCAGCACAUGUGCUCCAUGGGAAACAUAGAGCCCAGUGUUAACAUUGGCAAAACACAAAAUGUCCCACCAUAAUUAACUUUGGUAUUUUAAUGAAAUUAGUUGACUGAUCCAUUGAAAAAUAAUUGAUGGUUUCAGAACUAAAAACUAGCAUUCCUUUAUGUUGAAUCGUAUCGCAGUCCGAUGAUUGAGCGGGUCCCGCACUAAUAUUAUAGCAGACAAAAAAAAUCAAGUUUUCUUUAUGAGAACACUAUUAAUAAAACUGUUUACAAA
This is a long non-coding RNA of Cynoglossus semilaevis (tongue sole), 764 nucleotides long. RefSeq lists it as uncharacterized. The record is from RefSeq and is a predicted model, not a curated record. NCBI's taxonomy places the organism in Eukaryota, Metazoa, Chordata, Actinopteri, Pleuronectiformes, Cynoglossidae. The transcript is spliced from 2 exons.